Molecule: long non-coding RNA, 3154 nt
Organism: Capra hircus (goat)
Lineage: Eukaryota; Metazoa; Chordata; Mammalia; Artiodactyla; Bovidae
Exons: 3
Source: RefSeq, a predicted model, not a curated record
CCAGGAAUUGAACUGGGGUCUCCUGCAUUGCAGGUGGAUUCUUUACCAACUGAGUUACUAGGGAAGCCUUGGAUGUUUAAUAGACUUCUCCAUUUUAUUAUAUCUAAAACUAAACUCCUGAUCUCUCCUUUGUUCAAAAACCUAUACUUACAACCUUCUCUGUCUCAGUUAAUAGUAACUCCAUCAUUUCCACUGCUGAGGCUGACUCAGCAACUCUUACACCCCACAUCCAGUCUGUCAUCAAAUCCUGCUGCUGUUUCUUCAAAAUAUGUGACUAAUUCUCCCGUCUCCACUGAUACCACCUUGGUCCAAGCUGCCGUUACCUUCAAUCAGGAUUUCAUAUCAGCCUUCAUUAACCUUCAUUUUCUUCUCAGCCCAGCAGCCAGGGUGAUCCUUUUAAACUAUGAUUCUGUUCAAAGCUAUCUAGUAGCUCCCACCUCACUCAGAAAAAGCUGUGAUUCUUACAGUUAGGCUUACAAGACCCUGUUUCCUUUCUGAUCUACUUCCUGCUCUUCUCACCCUACCUUUCACUGCUCAGGCCCAUUGACCACCUUGCUGUUCCUUAACAUUUUGGACACACUCUCCUCAGGGAUUCAAAUUUGCUGUUCUUUCUGGUCAGGAUGCUCCUUUGAGACGUUUCUGUGUCCUUCUCACCUCCUCAGGUCUUUGCUUAAACGUCCCUGUUUCUGUGAGGCCUUCCCUUAUUACCCUGAUGAAAGUUGUUCACCCCACACCCCACCUUUCUCUUUGCUCUUUUGCUCUCUCUGUCUCCUUUUGGUACUUUAUUUUUCUCCAUGGCACCUGUCACUUUCUGGUAUGAUAUAUACUUAGCUCAUUUAAUAUGUUUGCAGGGACUUUUGUCUCUUUUUUGACUGCUAUAUUCUUAACAUUUAGAACAGUAUUUUAUACAUAGCUGCCACUCAAAUGAUGAGUGAAUGCAGUUGAAAUUCUGGACUUAAUCUCCUGGCAUUGGUUUGCAUAAACAGGUCUCCCUUAGCUUGAUAGCCUCUAAAUGCAUCUAUAAAUAUUGUUUCUGUAUUACAGCCUGAAUCAUAAGAGUCCACCAAAGUACUGACUUCUUGUGAGACCUGAUUUCAGCAUGGUCACACUCUCUGCCAUCUCUGUCUUAGUUCUAUAUAACCUGAAAGAGACGAAGACCUCUUUGAAGCUUUCUGAUCUUCCCACGUUCACAGUUAGAACUGAAGAACUGAUCAGCAAGAUUCUGGUUGCUUCUUAUUUCUAUUUUGAGGACCAGUUGGUAAGCUAGUAGUCCUGCUGCAUUCUUAUCUUCCUUGUGACUGAAAGCAAUGCCAUGUAAACAGAAUCAACUGACCUCUUAUCCUCCUGGAAAUUACAAAAGGCCAGUGGUUGGCAAAUAAAACUGGUAGCAGCAAUAAGUGAAGAUUUAUUGAGUUCUUACUUUUUGCUGGGCACUGUUUUAAGCACUUUUGACUUAUUAACUAACAUAAUCCUCAUAAUAACUUAAUGAGGAAAAUAGUAACAUUAGGAACAUUUUGUACAUAAGUAAACUGAAGCCUGAAAGGAUAAAGAAAAUCACAUCUCCAAGGUCUUAGAACUAGCAAGUGGCAACAGUGACAGUGUGAACCCAAGCUGGCAACCUGAUUCCAGAGCCUGAUUUCCAGAGCUGACAAACUGAUUCCACAGUGGCACUCUUAGCCGCUGUGCUCCACUGCCUGGUUGUAGAAUGAGAAGUAGGGGAGGGAAUUUACUUUGAGAAGAAAGCAAAGUAAUUAUUAUUCCAUUAGUGUGAGUCUGAUAGCAUCAUAGUAAUACAAGCACUUUCCUCUCAUAUUGUUCCUGUCACCAUUUCAUACAUGACACAAGAAUUAGGCUAAAAAGUUUCCAAAAUGCCUUGUCAGUCUUCCUAGGUGAAGGAGUAGGCUCCUUGGCACCCUCUGUCUAACCAUCCCCUUUCAGUUUUGCUUUGCUAAUUCCUUCUGUGUGGCUGAGCUCUGAAGGGUAUGUCAUGAACUCUGAGCAUGGUACUUAACCCCCUACCUCAGACUUGCACCCUAGUCUGAUUUCACUGCCUGAAUUCCAUGUUUUAGUUCCCAUUAAAUCACCUGUCACACUUACUUGCCAUUUUUUGUUUAAUUGUCUGGUUCCCUGCUAGACUGUAACCUCUGUGAGGGCAGCGAUUGCAUCUGCUUUAUUCACUGCUAUAUCCUUAAUACCUAGCAUGGUGUUUGGCGCACUGAAGGAGUUCAGUAAAAAAAAAAAUAAUGAUAAUGAGUAGAAAUGGUAUUUCUAAAGAAUAUCUGCAAUCAUAACCAUGCAUUAAGGUGAAUUUUCUUAUGGUUGGACUAGUCCAUCUUUUUCUUUCUUUUAUUUUUUUAAGUCCAUUGUUUUAGAAAUAGGAAAGAAAAUUUUCUUUUAGUCUGCUUUCCAGCUUUUGGAUUCUUAUGUUAUCAUUGCUUUGCCAUAAUGCUAGUUUUCAAUUAGUGCUGAUUUCUUCUUUAGAUUCAACUAACAUCCAACUGCAAUGUGCUGGACGGCUCCAUGAAGUCUUUCAUAUAUGUUUGCUAAUUUAAAUUGAGAUAACUUUUUUUUGAGGGUUUCGGCCUCAGCUGUACAACCAAGACACCUGACUGACUUGCACAAGAUCAGACUUUGCGGUUUAGUCAUGUUUGUAGUCUUGGUGACACUGGAAAACAACACAGCUGACUCACGCCCUCGCAGGAGCUGUUAUUACCUAAACUUAGGUACAGGAUACAGCGGUGCAAACCACACCCAAGAGGCAUCCCAUCUCUAUAAAGUGGACUGCUACUGGAGGUUCACAGAGGCUCCCUAACUAGACGGAUCCUUUUCCAAGAUGAUCUACGUCCUUUUUUUCCCCCACCCCCUGACCCCAGUACAAGUACCCUGUGUAGAUUCAUGUAAUUAAUCUGUAAAUGUUAUUGUUUAAUGUAUUAUUGACUAAUACUCUGUAAAUGUCAAUGAACAUUUAUUCUACAGUACAUUGCUAAAUAGUUUUUGUAACUGUGGUUUUUGAGCCCAGCCAGUACCGUGCUUUUGUAAUUGUGUGUCAGAAUUUUUUUUUUUUUUUCCUGGGAAGCUGGAACUGAAUCAUUUUCAGGACUUACAUAGAACCUAGUCUGUCAUCUUUAGUCCAAGAUUAAACAAACCAUGUAUA